Long non-coding RNA from Chiroxiphia lanceolata (lance-tailed manakin), 593 nucleotides. RefSeq lists it as uncharacterized. The record is from RefSeq and is a predicted model, not a curated record. The transcript has 3 exons. NCBI's taxonomy places the organism in Eukaryota, Metazoa, Chordata, Aves, Passeriformes, Pipridae.
CACAGACAUCUGCCAUCAGCAGCUGUCCCCUCAUAACUCACCCAAACAACCCCAUUUUCUGGUCAGCAGGAGCUGCUCUGAUCAGAGGAUCAUGUCUGGGCAAAGGACUCUGGUGCCUGAGCUCUAGCUGUUAUACAUAAUAUUUACUAAGUUUCAGCAUGAUCAUACCUUAAAAUAUUUUUCUUUUCUUGAAGAAGGUGUUUUAACUGCUUUCUACUCUAAAACAGAAAAAUUAUGCUGAAGAACAAAUCUCCCAAGGACCACACACUUUCCAAAGUACCAGCAUCCUCCAAAUCCCCCAUCUGCUAAACUGAACAGACUUCAGCUUAGUAUUCAUUUUAAUUUCCGCACAAUGCCUGUCAUUCAGACACUUGAAGUUACACAAAAUUCCGUGAUUAGUAGUAUGAUAGUGAUAGAAACUGAGAAGAGUUUGUGAAACCCCUAUAGUGAGUUAUUUUUUGCUCAGUGCAAAUUGAAAUGGCUGUAGCACUCUAUAACACCAAAAGGAAAAUGUGGAUAACUCCCCUCUGCUUUUCCUUACAGACUUAAUAUAUUCUCUAGCUUAAUUGUGAUAUUUUAUUUAAACAUUCAGA